CUUUGUGCUGGGAACCUCUCCUUUCUCAUAUGCACCCAAACCCAAUCUCCAGGCUGAAAAACCACUUGCUUACGUCCUUUGUUGGCUUGAGUAGCAUAUUGUUCAGUUCUCUUUUCUAUGUGUUGACGUGUUCUCUCAUGCAAUUGCUUGACAAAUUCAUCUUUCUUUUUACCAUCGAUACUAGCAUGCUCAUCAAUAGGUAAAGGUAAUAAAUCCAAAGGAGUUAAUGGAUUAAAA
Molecule: long non-coding RNA, 237 nt
Filed under: Citrus sinensis (sweet orange)
Lineage: Eukaryota; Viridiplantae; Streptophyta; Magnoliopsida; Sapindales; Rutaceae
Description: long non-coding RNA (CSIN_LNC005365)
Source: RNAcentral